AAGUCGAACGAGAGAAUUGCUAGCUUGCUAAUAAUUCUCUAGUGGCGCACGGGUGAGUAACACGUGAGUAACCUGCCCCCGAGAGCGGGAUAGCCCUGGGAAACUGGGAUUAAUACCGCAUAGAAUCGCAAGAUUAAAGCAGCAAUGCGCUUGGGGAUGGGCUCGCGGCCUAUUAGUUAGUUGGUGAGGUAACGGCUCACCAAGGCGAUGACGGGUAGCCGGUCUGAGAGGGUGACCGGCCACACUGGGACUGAGACACGGCCCAGACUCC
RNAcentral lists this ribosomal RNA (271 nucleotides) under uncultured Akkermansia sp. RNAcentral describes it as "partial 16S ribosomal RNA". It matches the Rfam family "Bacterial small subunit ribosomal RNA", at positions 59 to 339 of the family's 1533-position model. Lineage: Bacteria; Pseudomonadati; Verrucomicrobiota; Verrucomicrobiia; Verrucomicrobiales; Akkermansiaceae. The record is from RNAcentral.